AGAGUUUGAUCCUGGCUCAGGAUGAACGCUGGCGGCGUGCCUAAUACAUGCAAGUCGAGCGAACGGACGAGAAGCUUGCUUCUCUGAUGUUAGCGGCGGACGGGUGAGUAACACGUGGAUAACCUACCUAUAAGACUGGGAUAACUUCGGGAAACCGGAGCUAAUACCGGAUAAUAUUUUGAACCGCAUGGUUCAAAAGUGAAAGACGGCCUUGCUGUCACUUAUAGAUGGAUCCGCGCUGCAUUAGCUAGUUGGUAAGGUAACGGCUUACCAAGGCAACGAUGCAUAGCCGACCUGAGAGGGUGAUCGGCCACACUGGAACUGAGACACGGUCCAGACUCCUACGGGAGGCAGCAGUAGGGAAUCUUCCGCAAUGGGCGAAAGCCUGACGGAGCAACGCCGCGUGAGUGAUGAAGGUCUUCGGAUCGUAAAACUCUGUUAUUAGGGAAGAACAUAUGUGUAAGUAACUGUGCACAUCUUGACGGUACCUAAUCAGAAAGCCACGGCUAACUACGUGCCAGCAGCCGCGGUAAUACGUAGGUGGCAAGCGUUAUCCGGAAUUAUUGGGCGUAAAGCGCGCGUAGGCGGUUUUUUAAGUCUGAUGUGAAAGCCCACGGCUCAACCGUGGAGGGUCAUUGGAAACUGGAAAACUUGAGUGCAGAAGAGGAAAGUGGAAUUCCAUGUGUAGCGGUGAAAUGCGCAGAGAUAUGGAGGAACACCAGUGGCGAAGGCGACUUUCUGGUCUGUAACUGACGCUGAUGUGCGAAAGCGUGGGGAUCAAACAGGAUUAGAUACCCUGGUAGUCCACGCCGUAAACGAUGAGUGCUAAGUGUUAGGGGGUUUCCGCCCCUUAGUGCUGCAGCUAACGCAUUAAGCACUCCGCCUGGGGAGUACGACCGCAAGGUUGAAACUCAAAGGAAUUGACGGGGACCCGCACAAGCGGUGGAGCAUGUGGUUUAAUUCGAAGCAACGCGAAGAACCUUACCAAAUCUUGACAUCCUUUGACAACUCUAGAGAUAGAGCCUUCCCCUUCGGGGGACAAAGUGACAGGUGGUGCAUGGUUGUCGUCAGCUCGUGUCGUGAGAUGUUGGGUUAAGUCCCGCAACGAGCGCAACCCUUAAGCUUAGUUGCCAUCAUUAAGUUGGGCACUCUAAGUUGACUGCCGGUGACAAACCGGAGGAAGGUGGGGAUGACGUCAAAUCAUCAUGCCCCUUAUGAUUUGGGCUACACACGUGCUACAAUGGACAAUACAAAGGGCAGCGAAACCGCGAGGUCAAGCAAAUCCCAUAAAGUUGUUCUCAGUUCGGAUUGUAGUCUGCAACUCGACUACAUGAAGCUGGAAUCGCUAGUAAUCGUAGAUCAGCAUGCUACGGUGAAUACGUUCCCGGGUCUUGUACACACCGCCCGUCACACCACGAGAGUUUGUAACACCCGAAGCCGGUGGAGUAACCUUUUAGGAGCUAGCCGUCGAAGGUGGGACAAAUGAUUGGGGUGAAG
RNAcentral lists this ribosomal RNA (1497 nucleotides) under Staphylococcus aureus VET1956S. Its description in RNAcentral is "partial 16S ribosomal RNA". It matches the Rfam family "Bacterial small subunit ribosomal RNA". The record is from RNAcentral. Lineage: Bacteria; Bacillati; Bacillota; Bacilli; Caryophanales; Staphylococcaceae.